CCUACGGAGGGCUGCAGUGGGGAAUAUUGGACAAUGGGCGAAAGCCUGAUCCAGCCAUGCCGCGUGUGUGAAGAAGGCCUUCGGGUUGUAAAGCACUUUCAGUGGGGAAGAAAGCCUUGGGGCUAAUACCCUCGAGGAAGGACAUCACCCACAGAAGAAGCACCGGCUAACUCCGUGCCAGCAGCCGCGGUAAUACGGAGGGUGCGAGCGUUAAUCGGAAUUACUGGGCGUAAAGCGCGCGUAGGCGGUCUGAUAAGCCGGUUGUGAAAGCCCCGGGCUCAACCUGGGAACGGCAUCCGGAACUGUCAGGCUAGAGUGCAGGAGAGGAAGGUAGAAUUCCCGGUGUAGCGGUGAAAUGCGUAGAGAUCGGGAGGAAUACCAGUGGCGAAGGCGGCCUUCUGGACUGACACUGACGCUGAGGUGCGAAAGCGUGGGUAGCAAACAGGAUUAGAUACCCUUGUAGUC
Molecule: ribosomal RNA, 465 nt
Filed under: Vreelandella stevensii
Lineage: Bacteria; Pseudomonadati; Pseudomonadota; Gammaproteobacteria; Oceanospirillales; Halomonadaceae
Description: partial 16S ribosomal RNA
Rfam family: Bacterial small subunit ribosomal RNA
Source: RNAcentral